UGUCAAUCAGGGCCCAAUCAGCUGACUGUCAGCUGGGACGGGCGAGCUUAACCCUUCCCGCGCCGCCACCUCCCCCGGAGGGAGCCAAGCCGAGCGCAAAGUUUGGUGAAAGAGAGCCAAGAGUUUUCCAGAGGGGCUGCGGGAACCCGGGAGGAGAGGGAGAUCGAUUCUUUUAAAGCUCAUGCAAGAAGGAAAAAGAAAAAGGAAAGAAAAGAAAAAGGAAACAACCAACAACUCUGUUUCUAAGAUUUUAAAGCGAUAGGCAAGUCGGAGAAGCCGAGAUUUACUAUUUGGGGGAAAGCAAGAGCGCGCGAGCGAAUCCAGCGUUUGGAAGACCAGCCCGCCUGCUUGGAUGUUGGGACUGUUGAUUCUUCCAAUUAAUGAAAUGCAUUUGGUGUUAAUACUAUUUUUUUUUUACUUUGUGGGAGGGGGGAACACUAGGAGGGUGCAUUAAGAAAAAAAAAUUCUGAAAAGCCUGCAAAAGGAUCGAAGAGUGAAAACUAUUGUUGGAUCGAGUUGGUUUUUACCUCAACAGCGCCACCUUUCGGCAAAGGUCAGUUGAAAUUGAUCCGUGUCCAGUUUUGUUGAAGCGAAAAGAGGCUGGUUUCCCCAGGUGGGAGGAGGAAAGAGGCGCAGGAAGUUUGACUGCAGUGGGAGAACCCAACCUUGUAGGUAAGGGGCUGAGGACAGUGCAGGCAGGUGAGGGAGUUAUUUUUCCUCCACUCUCCCCCUGGAUUGUCGACCAAGGGGACAGGGGGCACAGAAGCCUUUUGGAGUGUGAUUCUGUCUCAGAGACUUGAGCAAGUGGAUCCCACGUAACAGGGCCCCAAGCCCUUAAAAGUGCCAGGAUGGAUUUCCAGCGGGCUUUAUGGCAAUAUCAAUAGAAUUAAAGUUACUUGUAAUUCAGUGAUAAAUGAGAUGUCUCUCGUAAGUAAGAUUAAGUGCAGCGCUAUAAAGUUGUUUAUCUGAAAAGUAAUUCUCAGAAAACCUGACUUCUGACACUUAGUCAUAUAUUAAGCCUCACGUCUUGAACAUUGCACUUCAGAAGGCUGUCACCCACCCCACAGCGUACUUUACUAUUUAUAACGAGACCUUAGGUGUCACUCACUGGCUUCAGACUCCAGAUGACACUUGUGUUAAUUUCUCUGAUGCUGGCAGCCCUGGUUUCAGCAGACCCCAGGGUUCCUAAUGAGAGAAUCCCCCAAUACAGGUUUGUAGGCGCAUCAGAAUCCUGAAAGGCCAGUGCUGUUGGUAUUUUCCAGAAAAGCACCUUCUCUUUUCAUCAUUACUUCAGCGAAGUUGUUUAUAAGGGUAGUUUUGGUCUUAUGGGAAUACUUUGUCUAUUACCAGUUUGGAGAAGAAAGAGUGACGGUUAUGUCAAUAUUUAUGCAACCUAACAGAAUUCCUUUGCUUUCCACCUCUUCAACAGUAUUUUACCUAGUAAUGAAGUUAAGGGACUAUAGCUUGUUUAUUCAGAGGAAAAUCUUAAACUACAUAAACGUACGAUGUCAUUUAGCAUUGUUCAUAGCAAUAGUUUUCUAGGCUUUUAAAAAACCAUUAGCCACAAAUGUCUGAAGUUUAUAAUUAUUCACGUGAAACAUGAAUUUAAAUGUAGUUAGGAAGAAUUGAUUCUUUUUUUGUUUAUAAUAUUUUUUUUUUUUAUCCUUUGGAAUCACAUUUUUGUUAAAAGCUGUAAGAAAUGAUCCUUGUCUCUCAUGAAAGUAUUUUUGGCCAGGAGCACUGAAACUUCUGCAUUCAUAAACAACAUUUAUAAACAAAAUUCGCUCAUGACGAAGACCAUGUGAUAUAGAUUCAUGGCCAUGCACCUAAUUGUUGCAAUUAUAUAUCAUUUCUAGAAAUUAAAUGCUCAUGUUUGGGCAGCUAAAUGAAUUAUUAUCUGCACUUUUUUUAUGGUUUAUUUCUGUACACUGCUGUUAAGCCAUGGUAUUUUUCUUUCUCGUAUUGCAGAGUCUUUUACAGUCUCUUAUUUUCUCUCGAAAAAAAAGAGAGGACCAGAAUUAUUUUUUAGAUGUGUAGCAGUAGUGCUCUCAGCCUUAAAACUGAAUUCUCAUUUUUGUCCUUUUUACUUUAUUAUUUAGUGAUUCUCAGGGGUGUCCAAACAUUUACAGUUCUCCGUUAGUGGCAUUUCUUUUCCAACAAUUGAGCUCUCUUAUUUUAAUUAGUACUAUUCAGGUUUUUGAUUCUGUACAAUUACAGCAGGCCACAUUUCCUUAGACUUCUUUGCUCACAUUGUUUGUUUCACUUCUCUCCAAGCCCAUGUAAUCUAAAUACAAUACGAACCCUGUUUCUGUACUGCUUAAUAUCCCCUUGCUAUAUAUACGCUAGUAAUCUCUGUAGAACAAUAUAGAGUAAUUUCGAAA
Molecule: long non-coding RNA, 2381 nt
Organism: Myotis daubentonii (Daubenton's bat)
Lineage: Eukaryota; Metazoa; Chordata; Mammalia; Chiroptera; Vespertilionidae
Exons: 2
Source: RefSeq, a predicted model, not a curated record